This 272-nucleotide long non-coding RNA is filed under the name Lathyrus oleraceus (garden pea). RNAcentral's name for it is "Pisum sativum (pea) long non-coding RNA (PSAT_LNC011116)". The record is from RNAcentral. Lineage: Eukaryota; Viridiplantae; Streptophyta; Magnoliopsida; Fabales; Fabaceae.
AAAAAUAGUAAAAUAUCUUAUCUAAUUUUUGUAAGAAGAUAAAAACGUUGAAUAAUUUUUAUGAAAAAUAUGAUGACUCACCGUUUAGUCAUUUAAUAUUAUUAAAACAGAAAAAUUUAUUUGGGCAACCCACUAUCCAACCCAACUCAAAAAAUUAGUGGAUUUGUCCAAACUAGCUCAUUUGUGUAGCGGAUGGUUAUUUUACAUCACCCAAACCAGAGUGUCUUAUAUGGACUAGGUAUUGAGUUUAACCAAACUCAACCCAAACCGAC